AUUGAACGCUGGCGGCAGGCCUAACACAUGCAAGUCGAGCGGAUGACGGGAGCUUGCUCCUUGAUUCAGCGGCGGACGGGUGAGUAAUGCCUAGGAAUCUGCCCGGUAGUGGGGGACAACGUUUCGAAAGGAACGCUAAUACCGCAUACGUCCUACGGGAGAAAGCAGGGGACCUUCGGGCCUUGCGCUAUCAGAUGAGCCUAGGUCGGAUUAGCUAGUUGGUGGGGUAAUGGCUCACCAAGGCGCCGAUCCGUAACUGGUCUGAGAGGAUGAUCAGUCACACUGGAACUGAGACACGGUCCAGACUCCUACGGGAGGCAGCAGUGGGGAAUAUUGGACAAUGGGCGAAAGCCUGACCCAGCCAUGCCGCGUGUGUGAAGAAGGUCUUCGGAUUGUAAAGCACUUUAAGUUGGGAGGAAGGGCAGUAAGCUAAUACCUUGCUGUUUUGACGUUACCGACAGAAUAAGCACCGGCUAACUCUGUGCCAGCCGCCGCAGUAA
Molecule: ribosomal RNA, 500 nt
Filed under: uncultured bacterium
Lineage: Bacteria
Description: partial 16S ribosomal RNA
Rfam family: Bacterial small subunit ribosomal RNA
Source: RNAcentral